RNAcentral lists this long non-coding RNA (605 nucleotides) under Nicotiana tabacum (common tobacco). RNAcentral describes it as "long non-coding RNA (NTAB_LNC014839)". The record is from RNAcentral. Lineage: Eukaryota; Viridiplantae; Streptophyta; Magnoliopsida; Solanales; Solanaceae.
CAUUUCUCUUUUUGAAGGUUUAGGAAUUAGGAUCAUAGCAGUUCCGUUUUCUCAAGCGUUGCUCAUAAAUCGGUCAAAUUUUCAAAUUUAAUCACGCUUCAAUUUCUUGAUAGAGAAUUGAUUUUUCUUACCAGCCUUUUGGACCUUUGAUAUGACUUCGUUUGUGGUUACAGGUGUUGCGUUCUUCUAACCUUGUGUUAGAGUUUCAAUCAAAUGUCUUUCCUUCAAAUGGUGAGUUUUCAUGCCCUUUUUUCAAUUCAAAAUUUUCAUUUGCCACUUUGCCAGCCCAAUGUUAUCUUACAAAUUGGAAUCAUUUUGGUGAUUUAGGAUAAACAUACAUGUUCUAUUGCUACAAUCAAUUGCUAACCUUGAACUGUACAUGUUCAAGUCCAAAAUAUAGAUAUGAGGAUGGAACCAAAAUAGAGAACAAAAUAUUUUUUUUAGAAUUUGCUUAUGAAUCAGUAUUUCAAAUUGCAAUUAGUUUCUUUACGUUGAUAGUGGAUAUACUCAAAUAGAUCGUUUAAGACAUUGCAGGAUUCUUUUAUUAUUCACACGCGUUCUCUGGCAUCACUUUCGCUCUCUUGGUUCUUCUUCUUUUGCUUUCU